GGGAGGAAGAACUCCAUUACAGACUGUGCUAAGAAGAGAUAGACUGCAUCCUCCAUUGUCCCAUGUGGCAGCAUCGCUGGCUGACCUGAGCCUACCUGUGAGGAGGAUGUACUACAGCAAGGAAACUGCUCCGGGAACUGGUCUGUAGAUAUGGAGUUCCAGGGGUAAUUGAGAGGGAUAGAGGAAACCCAUUUUACAGGGCAACAGAAGGAUUAGUGGCGGGACUGAGCAGCCUGAAAAAUAUUCUCUUUCACACAAAUUUGCCUUUUUCACUUCAGCAGUCUGUUCCCUGGGACCCACGACGUGGAGGCCAUCCAGGAGGCCUGGCGCCUUAUGAACUGUUUUAAGGACGCAGUUUGGCUUGCCAGGAACAGCCUUGUGAUCAACAGGGAGAACAUGACCGUCCGGGACUGCCGCAGGUUUAUCAGGAGCCUGCUCAGAGACUUCUCUCCUUCCCCCAUGUCCCCCUGAAGAUAAAGCCCAGUAGUUUGGCCCUGUGAUGCGCCCCUCCCUACCCCCACACAGUCACCCACUCCCCCACGCCCCCAGCCCCAUUCUAUAGCCCACACCCCUACCCCGAUCACAGAUUGUAUUGUCCUGUUUUUCGAUUUCUUUUGCUUUUCUAUUACAGGAUUGAGCAGAGUGUUAGAGUAGCAAGAUGUGCGAUGUAUAGCUUAGGGAACCUUUGCUGUGUAUUGUACUGUUAUGCUUUGUGUGAUUGUAAUUUAUCGUAUGACUUGUAAUGACUGAACGAACAAUAAAGCUCUUUCAAUAAUGGAA
Molecule: long non-coding RNA, 780 nt
Organism: Hyla sarda
Lineage: Eukaryota; Metazoa; Chordata; Amphibia; Anura; Hylidae
Exons: 3
Source: RefSeq, a predicted model, not a curated record